AGAGUUUGAUCCUGGCUCAGAAUCAACGCUGGCGGCGUGCCUCAGACAUGCAAGUCGAACGCGAAAGUUCCCUUCGGGGAGCGAGUAGAGUGGCGCACGGGUGAGUAACACGUAGGUAAUCUACCUUUGGAUGGGGAAUAACAACCGGAAACGGUUGCUAAUACCGCAUAAUGCAGCGGCACCUAAUGGUGACAGUUGUUAAAGCGGGGGAUCGUAAGACCUCGCGUCUGAAGAGGAGCCUGCGGCAGAUUAGCUAGUUGAUAAGGUAACGGCUUACCAAGGCGAUGAUCUGUAGCCGGCCUGAGAGGGCGGUCGGCCACACUGACACUGACAUACGGGUCAGACUCCUACGGGAGGCAGCAGUCGGGAAUUUUGGGCAAUGGGCGAAAGCCUGACCCAGCAACGCCGCGUGAAGGAUGAAAUCCCUCGGGAUGUAAACUUCGCAAGAACGGGAAGAAUAAGUAAGGGUUAAUAUCUCUUACGAUGACGGUACUGUUUGUAAGCUCCGGCUAACUCCGUGCCAGCAGCCGCGGUAAUACGGGGGGAGCAAGCGUUGUUCGGAUUUACUGGGCGUAAAGGGCGCGUAGGCGGCCACCGCAAGUCGACUGUGAAAUCUCCGGGCUUAACCCGGAAAGGUCAGCCGAUACUGCGGGGCUAGAGUGCAGAAGGGGCAACUGGAAUUCUCGGUGUAGCGGUGAAAUGCGUAGAUAUCGAGAGGAACACCUGCGGCGAAAGCGGGUUGCUGGGCUGACACUGACGCUGAGGCGCGAAAGCUAGGGGAGCGAACGGGAUUGGAUACCCCGGUAGUCCUAGCCUUAAACGAUGAAUGCUUGGUGUCUGGGGUUUUAUAGUCCCCGGGUGCCGUCGCUAACGCUUUAAGCAUUCCGCCU
Molecule: ribosomal RNA, 890 nt
Filed under: uncultured bacterium
Lineage: Bacteria
Description: bacterial SSU rRNA
Rfam family: Bacterial small subunit ribosomal RNA
Source: RNAcentral